GACGAACGCUGGCGGCGUGCUUAACACAUGCAAGUCGAACGGAAAGGCCCUGCUUUUGUGGGGUGCUCGAGUGGCGAACGGGUGAGUAACACGUGAGUAACCUGCCCUUGACUUUGGGAUAACUUCAGGAAACUGGGGCUAAUACCGGAUAGGAGCUCCUGCUGCAUGGUGGGGGUUGGAAAGUUUCGGCGGUUGGAGAUGGACUCGCGGCUUAUCAGCUUGUUGGUGGGGUAGUGGCUUACCAAGGCUUUGACGGGUAGCCGGCCUGAGAGGGUGACCGGCCACAUGGGGACUGAGAUACGGCCCAGACUCCUACGGGAGGCAGCAGUGGGGAAUAUUGCACAAUGGGCGGAAGCCUGAUGCAGCAACGCCGCGUGCGGGAUGACGGCCUUCGGGUUGUAAACCGCUUUCGCCUGUGACGAAGCGUGAGUGACGGUAAUGGGGAAAGAAGCACCGGCCAACUACGU
Molecule: ribosomal RNA, 467 nt
Filed under: uncultured bacterium
Lineage: Bacteria
Description: partial 16S ribosomal RNA
Rfam family: Bacterial small subunit ribosomal RNA
Source: RNAcentral